This 250-nucleotide ribosomal RNA is filed under the name uncultured archaeon. RNAcentral's name for it is "partial 16S ribosomal RNA". It matches the Rfam family "Archaeal small subunit ribosomal RNA", at positions 734 to 982 of the family's 1478-position model. The record is from RNAcentral.
UACCCGUGUAGUCCAGGGUGUAAAACGCUGCAGACUUGGUGUUGGGAACCCUUCGGGGGUGCUCAGUGCCGGAGAGAAGUUGUUAAGUCUGCUACUUGGGGAGUACGUCCGCAAGGAUGAAACUUAAAGGAAUUGGCGGGGAGCACCGCAACGGGAGGAGCGUGCGGUUUAAUUGGAUUCAACGCCGAAAAACUCACCAGCAGCGACUGUUACAUGAAAGUCAGGUUGAUGACCUUACUAGAUUUUUCAG